RNAcentral lists this ribosomal RNA (479 nucleotides) under Brachidontes modiolus. Its description in RNAcentral is "eukaryotic LSU rRNA". The stretch from base 390 to 479 matches the Rfam family "Eukaryotic large subunit ribosomal RNA", at positions 1 to 90 of the family's 3401-position model. Lineage: Eukaryota; Metazoa; Mollusca; Bivalvia; Mytilida; Mytilidae. The record is from RNAcentral.
CCAGCUGCGUGAAUUAAUGUGAAUUGCAGGACACAUUGAACAUCGAUAUCUUGAACGCACAUUGCGGCUUUGGGUCACUCCCGAAGCCACGCCUGUCUGAGGGUCGGUGAAACAUCAAUCGCAAAAGAAAUUUUGCGCCUUGGGUCGUCGCAGUGACUCUUGUCUCACUUCGUGGCCUUAAAUGCAGACCGGUGUCUCCGACCGACUGUCUCUGUGCGGAGGGACGCAUGCCUGGAGAAAUGCUCUUUCUUUCUCGCGAUUCCCUUUCCCGCAGUGCUCUGUUAAAGCAGGGACGGGCGGGUAGAGAUACCUCACCAGAUGGGUUUGCCUUGCCCCUCCUUUGGCUUGCUCUGUUGCCAACAAGGAGGGCCACACAACCAUCCUAUCUCCGACCUCAGAUCAGACGAGAGUACCCGCUGAAUUUAAGCAUAUCACUAAGCGGAGGAAAAGAAACUAACCAGGAUUCCCCUAGUAAUGGA